This 253-nucleotide ribosomal RNA is filed under the name uncultured bacterium. Its description in RNAcentral is "partial 16S ribosomal RNA". It matches the Rfam family "Bacterial small subunit ribosomal RNA", at positions 524 to 776 of the family's 1533-position model. The record is from RNAcentral.
UACGAAGGGGGCUAGCGUUGCUCGGAAUUACUGGGCGUAAAGCGUCUGUAGGUGGCUUUUUAAGUCCGCCGUCAAAUCCCAGGGCUCAACUCUGGACAGGCGGUGGAAACUACCAAGCUGGAGUACGGUAGGGGCAGAGGGAAUUUCCGGUGGAGCGGUGAAAUGCGUAGAGAUCGGAAAGAACACCAACGGCGAAGGCACUCUGCUGGGCCGACACUGACACUGAGAGACGAAAGCUAGGGGAGCGAAUGGG